UACGGGGGGAGCAAGCGUUGUUCGGAUUUACUGGGCGUAAAGGGCGCGUAGGCGGCCAGCACAAGUCAGUUGUGAAAUCUCCGAGCUUAACUCGGAAAGGUCAACUGAUACUGUGCGGCUAGAGUGCGGAAGGGGCAACUGGAAUUCUUGGUGUAGCGGUGAAAUGCGCAGAUAUCAGGAGGAACACCAAUGGCGAAGGCAGCACUCUGGGACGUGACUGACGCUGAGACGCGAAAGCGUGGGGAGCAAACAGG
RNAcentral lists this ribosomal RNA (254 nucleotides) under uncultured bacterium. Its description in RNAcentral is "partial 16S ribosomal RNA". It matches the Rfam family "Bacterial small subunit ribosomal RNA", at positions 524 to 776 of the family's 1533-position model. The record is from RNAcentral.